Molecule: long non-coding RNA, 312 nt
Organism: Hipposideros armiger (great roundleaf bat)
Lineage: Eukaryota; Metazoa; Chordata; Mammalia; Chiroptera; Hipposideridae
Exons: 3
Source: RefSeq, a predicted model, not a curated record
AAGCAACUCCUCUCAGGGGAAAUCCAACUCCACCGCUGGAAAUGCAGGCUGCAGAGUGUGAGGUCUGGGAAGGCUGAUGGAUCCCCAGUGCAGAAGAGUGCAUCCCCCAGAGCAGACAAGCAACGAAGGCCUUGAACUGUAUGUAAGAGUGAAUGCCUCCUAGGUGCCCUGAAUUGAAAAUUCCUGAGUAGUUCUGCAGUGGGAGAAGAGAAGGACUACAUCCAACAUUCAAGAUAAUACCAACUUCUCAGAAAUUUAAAAGCCACCUUAUUCAACACCCUUCUUUGAACAGUGGCGUGGAUGAGUUCUGUG